CUCAGUUGGUUAGAGCAACGGACUGUUAAUCCGCAGGUCCCUGGUUCGAGUCCAGGUGGGGGCGCAA
Molecule: transfer RNA, 67 nt
Filed under: Bacteroidota bacterium
Lineage: Bacteria; Pseudomonadati; Bacteroidota
Description: Bacteroidetes bacterium (marine metagenome) tRNA-Asn
Rfam family: tRNA
About the family: Transfer RNA (tRNA) molecules are approximately 80 nucleotides in length. Their secondary structure includes four short double-helical elements and three loops (D, anti-codon, and T loops).
Source: RNAcentral